Molecule: transfer RNA, 73 nt
Organism: Reinekea sp.
Lineage: Bacteria; Pseudomonadati; Pseudomonadota; Gammaproteobacteria; Oceanospirillales; Saccharospirillaceae
Rfam family: tRNA
About the family: Transfer RNA (tRNA) molecules are approximately 80 nucleotides in length. Their secondary structure includes four short double-helical elements and three loops (D, anti-codon, and T loops).
Source: Rfam
GUCCCGUUCGUCUAGUGGCCUAGGACACCGCCCUUUCACGGCGGUAACAGGGGUUCGAGUCCCCUACGGGAUG